Long non-coding RNA from Acinonyx jubatus (cheetah), 3166 nucleotides. RefSeq lists it as uncharacterized. The transcript has 2 exons. NCBI's taxonomy places the organism in Eukaryota, Metazoa, Chordata, Mammalia, Carnivora, Felidae. The record is from RefSeq and is a predicted model, not a curated record.
GAGCCAUGGCGAUUGGCUUACGGAUGGGCACAUGACCCGGGCAGGGCCAAUCAGAUUCUCUCUCAUCACGAGCCGGAAGACAAUACGGCUGGUCUGUUGGCGGCCUUUCUGCUGCAGCGCGGGCAGAGACUGCCUGAGAAUGAAGCCAACCUAGAGGAAUGGGGAGCGGAGAGAGGGAGGCCGAUAGAAAGGGGGUGCUCUGGGCCCCUCAAGGACAGCCCCCCGCUUCGGACGUCCCAGUCGUGAAAGCGCAUGCACCCCUGUGCGGGGUUCCGUCAUUGCUCCCAGGCUCUGUGCUGAGCUCAUCAGGUGCAUCGUGACUAAUGAGUCUCACGACCGCCCUAAGGGGUAGAUAUUCGGAUGUUUCCUGCUUUCGGAUGAGAAGAGACCGAGACUGAAAGUGAGACCCGAGCGGGGAGCCCAGCCUCGCGCUGUGGACAUGUGUGAACCCUGCCUCCCCGGCCCGGCCCCCUGCUGCCCAGCAGAGGCAUUCAGGUGUUUGUUGAGUGCUCGUCCUGGCCGUUGGGAGUUGAGUUCAGCUUCCCUUCCUUCUCUGGAAUUUGUGUGUGGGCACUGGAUGUGCCUGAGCCCGCCUGAGCCCUUUGCCUCCUGCCCCUGGGCAUUUGCAGAGCAGAGCCCCUCUGCCGCGGUACUUCGUGGUGGGACUGGACGUCCCGCAGCCAAGCCUUGGACGCUCCAGCAAGAUUGCAUUUCCAGACACUUAAAAACAUUCCCUGAAUGAUCUCUGUGAACUUUCCAGAGUUUGAAGUGGGCUGGACCACCUUAAAGUUAGCUCAGAGAGAAAACCUUUUGUACGGAGCCUUUGGAUUUCUUGUUCCCCUUUAGAAGCGAUGUUCUUGUUUGAUGGGAACAGAGACAGUCCUGUAACACGCAGGUCAAGCUGUUCUUUGGGAAAUUUUAAAAGAGGCUGGAGGUGUGUUCUGAAGAAAGCAAAUAAGUCCAGAUUCUUGUCCCCAUGUGGUAAACUCUGAGCAGUUUGGAGAAGAUCAGAAACUCCUACGUUUGUUCCUUGGCCCAGGAGAGUUCAAAGCCACAGCUGGCAAAGGUGAUCUGAUCUCCAAAAACAUCCAUCAGAAAAUUGGGGUGGGCUUGCUCCGUCAGCGGGGGCCAGGUGGGGGCUGGGGAACCCACUUUUCUCUGCUUCCAUUCAGCCAUGCCGCCCCCUCCCCUCUUAGUUCAGUGAGGUCUAGGGAGGGCCAGGGAGGCAGAGCUGGCCCACGUGGAGAUUGUAGAAGGCCAGGUGCCUGGGGGGGAGAGGGGCGUGGGCUGCUCUCUGGUGGACAGUGUAAGUCCUUGUCCCUCGGCUGUUUUCUCCUUUUCUCAAGGCCCUGUGUCUGUGUCCAAAGGCAGGCAGCUCGCCUACUGCUGAGGGUCAGAGGGAGCCUACCCUGAACGAGCCUCUUCUCUUGGCCUCUCUCUUCCUUCCAUCACUUGCGUGGGUGUGAUGAGUUCACAGGCCAGUGUUUGUGUCCUGAGAGAGCUGGCAGCCAAGGGCUGUGGUUUCUACAGAGGAUCAAGAUUUCUGGGGCAGACAGCCGUGGGCCUCGACCCCUGCCUUUGGGGUCCCCACAGCAGACAUUGAGCCAAGGACAUGAGUGUGAACGAUUGAUGGGGAAGCAAACCGUGGAAAGUGUCACAGAGAAGGGGACGUGACAGGCCUGGGAAGGCUGUAGGGUUGAGGUUGAGUCCCCUGGGGCGUCUGGAGCUUGUGAGGUGCAGAUCCUGGCCCAGCAGGUCAGGGGCAGCGUGAAUUCCUCAUCUCUAGCAAACUCCCAGCUGAAGCAAAUGCUGCUGGUCCACAGUCCACACAGGAGAACACAUUUCUGAGCUCCACCAGCUGAAGGGGUUGACUUGUGUCCCCCAAAAGAUAUGCUGAAGUCCUAACCCGAUAUCCGUCAGUGUGACUGUAUUGGAAAUAGAGUCUUCGCCAAUGAAAUCGGGUUGAGACUAGGACAUAGUGGGUUUGGGUGGACCCUAAUCUAAUGACUGGGGUCCCUAAAAAAGAAGAAAAGAGACAGAGGGACGAGGGAAGAAGGCCAUGUGGAGACAGCGCAGAGGUUGGAGCAGAGAUUGGAACACCUGGAGCUAUGGGAAGCUGAAGAGGCAGGAGGGAUCCCCCGCCUGGAGCCUGCAGAGAGCGUGGUCCUGCCCACACCUUGAUUUCAGACUCCUGGCCUCCAGAAGGUGAAAGAAUAGAGUUCUGCUAUUUAAACACCCCCAGUUUGUGGGACUUUGUUACAGCCGAUCCAGGAGCCUAAUACAGCAGCCAGGGGGUGAGGGAGCCGGUCCCAGGGGCCUCAGCGUCCCAGCACUUCCAGCCUGACCUGAGGAUUGGCAGAGGGAGCAGGUGCACGCACGGUUGGCUCCCUGGAAGCAGUCAGUGCCGAGGCAAGGCAGGUGCACGUUUGGAAAGGUGGGCCCCUCGGGUAAAAUCGGGAACGAGGGUGAGCCGACCUUUAAGGAGCCGAGAUUCCAGCCUGGCUGGUCUGAGCCCAGUGCCCAGGCUCCUCGUGCCGUGCCCAGCUGCCCCCCACAGAGUGCCCUUGCUCCUGCACCUGUGGCCGCAGGUCAGGGACGCGGUGAAACAUCCCAUGGUGGAUGGCCACCCAUAACACGGUGUCACCCCAAGUGUCGAGAGUGCCAAGGUGGAAACCCUCUAGUGGAGGGACCCGCCAUGGCUUCGGAUGGCCGAUCCCACUCGACGUCUUCAGUUGGUCCAGCAGGCCGGACAUGACCAAGUAUUGGGUUCACCGACAGAAGGAUCGUAGGCUUUAUAAGAAAGAAAGGACAAGGGACGGGUGUUCUUGCUGUGGACCGGACGUGCCGUCUACCUGUGUUGAGAUACAGAAAUGCUGCAGUUCAGCCACAAAGACCACAUGCUGUCUAAUUCCAUUUACUGUGGAAUUCCCAGCACGGGCAGGUCCAUGGAGACUUAGUGACAGCCAGGGACUGGGCGUGAGCACGAGGAGGUUGGGCAGCUGCCAGGGCACUGGGCAGUGAGCCCCAUGCAGCCCCCAGAAGGCAGACAGCAAGGAUGCCAGAGCUGGGGAUUUGUCUUAAGUUGCGUUCAUCUUCGGAUUUUCCUUCUUUCUUUUGUGUUCUAGGCUUUCUGUUACGCAGUUUAUAUUACAUUAUGUUUUUAUGA